GUUGGGCUGUUCGCCCAUUAAAGCGGUACGCGAGCUGGGUUCAGAACGUCGUGAGACAGUUCGGUCCCUAUCCGUCGUGGGCGUAGGAAAUUUGAGAGGAGCUGUCCUUAGUACGAGAGGACCGGGAUGGACAUACCGCUGGUGUACCAGUUGUCUUGCCAAAGGCAUCGCUGGGUAGCUAUGUAUGGACGGGAUAAGUGCUGAAAGCAUCUAAGCAUGAAGCCCCCCUCAAGAUGAGAUUUCCCAUUACGCAAGUAAGUAAGACCCCUGAAAGACGAUCAGGUAGAUAGGUUCGAGGUAGAAGUGCGGUGACGCAUGCAGCUGACGAAUACUAAUCGGUCGAGGACUUAACCACAUUU
Molecule: ribosomal RNA, 359 nt
Filed under: Solibacillus silvestris
Lineage: Bacteria; Bacillati; Bacillota; Bacilli; Caryophanales; Caryophanaceae
Description: bacterial LSU rRNA
Rfam family: Bacterial large subunit ribosomal RNA
Source: RNAcentral